RNAcentral lists this ribosomal RNA (429 nucleotides) under Bacteroidota bacterium. RNAcentral's name for it is "Bacteroidetes bacterium partial 16S ribosomal RNA". It matches the Rfam family "Bacterial small subunit ribosomal RNA", at positions 355 to 776 of the family's 1533-position model. The record is from RNAcentral. Lineage: Bacteria; Pseudomonadati; Bacteroidota.
UAGGGAAUCUUCCGCAAUGGGCGAAAGCCUGACGGAGCAACGCCGCGUGAGUGAUGAAGGUCUUCGGAUCGUAAAACUCUGUUAUUAGGGAAGAACAAAUGUGUAAGUAACUAUGCACAUCUUGACGGUACCUAAUCAGAAAGCCACGGCUAACUACGUGCCAGCAGCCGCGGUAAUACGUAGGUGGCAAGCGUUAUCCGGAAUUAUUGGGCGUAAAGCGCGCGUAGGCGGUCAAUUAAGUCUGAUGUGAAAGCCCCCGGCUCAACCGGGGAGGGUCAUUGGAAACUGGUUGACUUGAGUGCAGAAGGGGAGAGUGGAAUUCCAUGUGUAGCGGUGAAAUGCGUAGAUAUAUGGAGGAACACCGGUGGCGAAAGCGGCUCUCUGGUCUGUAACUGACGCGGAGGCUCGAAAGCGUGGGGAGCGAACAGG